UGUCUUUAAGAAAAAUGAAGCAGUAUUCACUCUCACUUUAUCAUCUUUUAUUUGAUUCCAGCUUUACGGGAAGUGACCCCCCGAAACCAAUAUCAUGACUUGCAAGUUGUCUCGUAAUUCACUCUUACUUUGUCAGUUUUUCUUCAAUUCACAUUUGCAUUCAUCAAGGAAAGUGAUUUUACAACUUGUGCGACGACUUUGCAUUGAUUCUUUUUAGCUUCACAAUUCAUUGAUUCUCUUCUCACAGAGAUCAUCUGCUUGUUGCUAUUAUUUUUCUUCACUGUGCUUGUUUCCCAAUUUUAACAAAGACCUUCUGAAGAUGGAAGUACCAAUUCACUGUCUCACUUAACCAGUUGGUUUCAGAAAAGUCCACUUGAGGAAGAUCAUUCAUCAGACAAGCAUGCAUCUUCUUCGACAAAUGAAAUGACUCUGUCAGUACUAGGUACUCAAUAACUGAUUAACUGUAUACUUAACUCUUUCAUCUCCUAGCCAUUAUUAGAUGCUAUUCAUGACCAGUAUAUUUUGUAACUUAUGCAUUGAUUCCAGUGGUUUAGUCCUAGUUUGAGCUUUAGCACCCUGUAAGUGCCUACUUGGGGUAAUGUUAUAUAUAUUUGUCUCACAGAUAAUCGACAAGAUGACUGCACUGAAGCUUCGUAUAAAUCAGCAAUAAGAGUUCUGUGCAAUCUCAUCAGUUGUAAAUUGUUUUGAUUUUUUUUCCUCAUGCACUCUUUCAGAUGUUUCAUUGACGAAUAAUCAAUUAAUCCUCACAUCAUAACAAAAAUAAAAAUGAAUAAGAAGUCAUGACUUAAUUUGUAUUUAUUUAAUAAAAAUAAAAAUGAAGUGAUCUGAUUGAUAUUAAACUAGUUCAAGAUGGUGGUCAUGAUCUGUACAUUCAUAUGUCUGCCUCUGAAGCAGGUAAGUUCACUGUUGGUUUUGUUGAGCAUUUGAGUGUUUCCUUAAAGUUCCAUAAUGAUUUCCAUUAUUGUUCUCCAUCACUGGCCUAUAGCUUUAGCUCAUUUGUUCUUAGUUUUAAUUCGAUUUCCUAUUUUUCUUUUGAUUUAUUAAAAUUUCCAUGAAGAGCCAAACGGUAAUAAUAAGGUCAAGAUAACAGUCAUAAUUCCAAUUGCCAUUUUCAUAGUUGCUGGUUUGCUUCUUGUCAGCUAUUACAUUUGCAGAAGCCAUGCAAGCUUAAAAGGUAAGACUGUCUGAUCCAUUUGCUUUCGUAAAUCAAGUUUUCACUAUGUUCUUUCCAACUUCCUUAGCUGAUGUUCAGAAAUAUUCUUGACUAACAUGAUAUAGCCUUCUAUGGUUCAUGUUAGUAUGUAGUAAAAUGUUUCAGGGGGUAGAAAAAACCAUGUGAUAAACGACAGGAGCAUGGAAGGGCAAAGGGAAGACUCAGAAGUCCAGUUAUACCUAGCAUUAAUAUCCAAAGCAACCAAUGACUUCUCAAUUGACAACAAGCUAGGACAAGGUGGUUUUGGGCCUGUAUACUGGGGUACCCUGGUAGAUGGACAAGAAAUUGCUGUGUAGAGGCUUUCAAGAAGCUGUGGAUAAGGUUUAACCGAGUUCAAAAAUGAAGUAGCACUAAUAGCCAAGCUUCAACAUCGAAAUCUUGUAAAGCUUCUGCCUUCUGGGAUGCUUGCGUAGAUGGAGAGGAAAAGAUGCUGGUUUAUGAAUAUACGCCAAAAAAAAGUUUGGACUUCUGCAUUUUCGUGGUUAUAUGGCACUUGAUCAAUAUCCUACUGGUGAACUGGUUCCACUAAAAUCAGAUUGUCUUUAGCUUUGGUAUAUUAAUGCUGGUGAUAAUUAGUGGGAAGAAAAAUAGAGGGCUUUACCAUCCAACAUGUUAGUUUCAGCAGAUACUAUUAUAAUCAAAUUUUUGUUGCUUCGCUUUGACUGAAAAAACCUGGAAGGGUUUGGAUUCGCUGCAGGCAUGGAGAUUAUGGAAAGAAGGCAGUCCUUCAGAACCUGUUGAAGAAUGCUUAGGAGAGUCCUGCAAUCUAUCAGAAGUGAUACGAUGCAUCCAUUAUUAGUCUUUUACGUGUACAGCAGCUUCCUGAGGAUAGACCAAGUUUGUCAUCUAUGAUUCUGAUGUUGGGAAGUGAAACUGAAUUGCCAGACCCCAAACAACUUGGUUUUUUCUUUGAAAAAAGUUCAUUGAAGAAGAUUCUUCAUCAGACAAGCAUGUAUCUUCUUCAACAAUUGAAAUGACUCUGUCAGUACUAAAUGAUCAUAAUUGAUUAACUGUAUACAUAACUCUUUCAUCUCCAAGUCAAUAUUAUAUGCUAUUGAUCAGUAUGUUUUAUACCUUAUGCUUUGAUACCAGUGGUUUAG
Long non-coding RNA from Theobroma umbraticum, 2334 nucleotides. RefSeq lists it as uncharacterized. NCBI's taxonomy places the organism in Eukaryota, Viridiplantae, Streptophyta, Magnoliopsida, Malvales, Malvaceae. The record is from RefSeq and is a predicted model, not a curated record.